Molecule: ribosomal RNA, 450 nt
Filed under: uncultured Glomeromycotina
Lineage: Eukaryota; Fungi; Glomeromycota
Description: SSU rRNA
Rfam family: Eukaryotic small subunit ribosomal RNA
Source: RNAcentral
AGCAGCCGCGGUAAUUCCAGCUCCAAUAGCGUAUAUUAAAGUUGUUGCAGUUAAAAAGCUCGUAGUUGAAUUUCGGGAUCAAUACGCCUGUCGUGCCUUCGGUACGUACGGGUGUAUUUGGUCUCUACCUUCUGAGGAUCCUUGAUGUUAUUAAUUUGGUGUCUUGGGGAAUCAGGACUGUUACCUUGAAAAAAUUAGAGUGUUUAAAGCAGGCAUACGCUUGAAUACAUUAGCAUGGAAUAAUGAAAUAGGACGUUCGAUUCUAUUUUGUUGGUUUCUAGGAUCGACGUAAUGAUUAAUAGGGAUAGUUGGGGGCAUUAGUAUUCAAUUGUCAGAGGUGAAAUUCUUGGAUUUAUUGAAGACUAACUACUGCGAAAGCAUUUGCCAAGGAUGUUUUCAUUAAUCAAGAACGAAAUUAGGGGAUCGAAGACGAUCAGAUACCGUCGUAGU